GAUGAACGCUGGCGGCGUGCCUAAUACAUGCAAGUCGAGCGAACAGACGAGGAGCUUGCUCCUCUGACGUUAGCGGCGGACGGGUGAGUAACACGUGGAUAACCUACCUAUAAGACUGGGAUAACUUCGGGAAACCGGAGCUAAUACCGGAUAAUAUAUUGAACCGCAUGGUUCAAUAGUGAAAGACGGUUUUGCUGUCAAUUAUAGAUGGAUCCGCGCCGCAUUAGCUAGUUGGUAAGGUAACGGCUUACCAAGGCAACGAUGCGUAGCCGACCUGAGAGGGCGAUCGGCCACACUGGAACUGAGACACGGUCCAGACUCCUACGGGAGGCAGCAGUAGGGAAUCUUCCGCAAUGGGCGAAAGCCUGACGGAGCAACGCCGCGUGAGUGAUGAAGGUCUUCGGAUCGUAAAACUCUGUUAUUAGGGAAGAACAAAUGUGUAAGUAACUAUGCACGUCUUGACGGUACCUAAUCAGAGAGCCACGGCUAACUACGUGCCAGCAGCCGCCGUAA
This 513-nucleotide ribosomal RNA is filed under the name uncultured bacterium. Its description in RNAcentral is "partial 16S ribosomal RNA". It matches the Rfam family "Bacterial small subunit ribosomal RNA", at positions 28 to 523 of the family's 1533-position model. The record is from RNAcentral.